AUGGAUAAUAUGACCCAGUGGGAACCAGGACUGCAGAGAAGAGACAGCCGCCAAGAACCUCUGAAACACACAGUGACUACAUCAAAGAUGGGAGCCAUUAGAGGAGAAAAAUCUGGAGCUCUGCUGGUCAUGAACACAGCAACACAGAUUUAUGCAUACCAGACAUGCUAG
RNAcentral lists this long non-coding RNA (171 nucleotides) under Fukomys damarensis (Damara mole-rat). Its description in RNAcentral is "lncRNA (ENSFDAG00000025919.1)". Lineage: Eukaryota; Metazoa; Chordata; Mammalia; Rodentia; Bathyergidae. The record is from RNAcentral.